Molecule: ribosomal RNA, 565 nt
Filed under: uncultured bacterium
Lineage: Bacteria
Description: bacterial SSU rRNA
Rfam family: Bacterial small subunit ribosomal RNA
Source: RNAcentral
UCCUACGGGAGGCAGCAGUAGGGAAUCUUCCACAAUGGACGCAAGUCUGAUGGAGCAACGCCGCGUGAGUGAAGAAGGUCUUCGGAUCGUAAAGCUCUGUUGUUGGUGAAGAAGGAUAGAGGCAGUAACUGGUCUUUAUUUGACGGUAAUCAACCAGAAAGUCACGGCUAACUACGUGCCAGCAGCCGCGGUAAUACGUAGGUGGCAAGCGUUGUCCGGAUUUAUUGGGCGUAAAGCGAGCGCAGGCGGAAUGAUAAGUCUGAUGUGAAAGCCCACGGCUCAACCGUGGAACUGCAUCGGAAACUGUCAUUCUUGAGUGCAGAAGAGGAGAGUGGAACUCCAUGUGUAGCGGUGGAAUGCGUAGAUAUAUGGAAGAACACCAGUGGCGAAGGCGGCUCUCUGGUCUGCAACUGACGCUGAGGCUCGAAAGCAUGGGUAGCGAACAGGAUUAGAUACCCUGGUAGUCCAUGCCGUAAACGAUGAGCGCUAGGUGUUGGGGACUUUCCGGUCCUCAGUGCCGCAGCAAACGCAUUAAGCGCUCCGCCUGGGAGACAGCCAACGUUNU